Molecule: signal recognition particle RNA, 302 nt
Filed under: Pongo abelii (Sumatran orangutan)
Lineage: Eukaryota; Metazoa; Chordata; Mammalia; Primates; Hominidae
Description: Metazoan signal recognition particle RNA (ENSPPYG00000036254.1)
Rfam family: Metazoan signal recognition particle RNA
About the family: The signal recognition particle (SRP) is a universally conserved ribonucleoprotein. It is involved in the co-translational targeting of proteins to membranes. The eukaryotic SRP consists of a 300-nucleotide 7S RNA and six proteins: SRPs 72, 68, 54, 19, 14, and 9.
Source: Rfam by way of RNAcentral
GCUCGGUGCAGUGGUGCGUGCCUAUAGUCCCAGCUACUCUGGAGGCUGAGGCAGGAGGACUGUCUAAGUCUAGGAGUUCUGGGCUGUAGUGUACUAUGCGUAUCAGGUGUCCACACUAAGUCUGGCAUCGACACGAUAACCUCCCGGAAGCAAGGGAGCACCACGUUGCCUAAGGAGGGGUGAACAGGCCCAGGUCAGAAAGAGAGCAGGUCAAAUACUCCCAUGCUGAUCAGUAAUGGGAUCGCGCCUGUGAAUAACCCUUGCACUCCAGCCUGGACAACAAAGAGAAUCCCCCAUGUCUA